RNAcentral lists this ribosomal RNA (213 nucleotides) under uncultured bacterium. RNAcentral's name for it is "partial 16S ribosomal RNA". It matches the Rfam family "Bacterial small subunit ribosomal RNA", at positions 1288 to 1500 of the family's 1533-position model. The record is from RNAcentral.
UCAGUUCGGAUUGGAGUCUGNAACCCGACUACAUGAAGCUGGAAUCGCUAGUAAUCGCGGAUCAGAAUGCCGCGGUGAAUACGUUCCCGGGUCUUGUACACACCGCCCGUCACACCAUGGGAGUCGGAAAUGCCCGAAGUCAGUGACCCAACCGGAAGGAAGGAGCUGCCGAAGGUGGAGCCGGUAACUGGGGUGAAGUCGUAACAAGGUAGC